Triticum urartu is the source of this 3199-nucleotide non-coding RNA. The record is from RefSeq and is a predicted model, not a curated record. Lineage: Eukaryota; Viridiplantae; Streptophyta; Magnoliopsida; Poales; Poaceae.
GUCUGUUUUUAUAUUCCAGAGGCGCAUGGGAGUAAGCUCGAGCUGCAGACGAGCUCAGACUCCAUAGGAGGAGCAUGUUCCGCUGCGCCUCUCCCACCUCCUCGGCGCACAGGGGGAUGGCCAGCGCCGCGCAGCAGCAGGGUGUUGAUCACAAGAUAGUAAAUGAUUUCUCUAUUAGUAGAGGUCUGAAGGUUCGAGAAGGGACGAAAGAUGAAGAAUUUGCCUGAAGAAAAUAUUGAACAAAAAGCUCCAGAUGGCUUCCUAGGGGUGAUGUGCUUCAGUUUGAGAUUGGGAUGUUGGCUUUCUCUAACCCGCCUUCCUUGAGUCUGAAGUUGGGUUCACAAGCAAGCAGGCCGCAGAGGACAUGGCACUGGCCAUGUUCAACCGUGCCCUGAAGCUUUCUGGAGCAGGUAUGUGCCUCUGUGUGUGUCUUCUCUAACUUCAUCUCGCUGGAUGUAUGGAUCAUUCUGCACGUUGGGCUUGUUGCUGGCUGCUAGCCUGGCUUGUAAGAGGAUGCUCCCCUGCUCUUGAGUCCAAGAUACUGAGGGAAAGUACAUAUCCAGAGGCACCAAUUGGGAGAGGUACAACAUAUGCAUUUCAAAUGCAUUUCAAAGAGAACUGGAAGAGCUAGCACCAAAGAGCCCCAACUCACCUCCACGAUCAAGUUCUACAUGCAAUUCACGGAUAGUGGUUGUCGGCACAUCUUUUAACCAAGUCACCUCCAUUGAUCCUUUUGUUGACAAGCAGCUAGACCCAAGACCCAAGGUACCAAACAAAAUAAGGAAGGCAUCAAAACUCCUAGGAAUCUUGCUAGAUAUGAGCAUCUCUUUUGCAUGACGAAGGAAAUGAGCGGCUGGCUAGAUCUAAACAUAUAUUAAAUCCUCAUUGGAUUACAAAUUGUGGAGGGACCGGUCAACAUUUUUAGUCUUUUACUGCAUGGCUGCGAAGUAUACACAGAUUUAGGAAAACUACCUGCGCGUUUCCCAUGGUAGAUCGGUUUGGCCCUGCUGUGCUACCUAACUGAUUUUGAAUCAGCCGCCGUCGCAGGACCUUCCACAGCUAGACCUUGACGGCGCCAGCCGUAUGGACAUCCAGCUCAACGAUCUUUCAAAAUGGUUAUUCAUGUCUGGUUGCGUCUGGCGGGCAACGCGCGGCAAGUCGUGCCACCUAUAAUUGAAGCAUCGUUCAUGGUUAGGCUAGAACUACAUAAUAUUGUUGCUCGAACUGCAGCCAGCAGGUGCUUUUCUUCUCCUCCUCAAGCUUCGGCAAGAAUAUACUACACAUAUAUAGUAGCUGAGAAAGCAUGACAUGCCAUAAUUUGUUGUCCUUUUGUAUCUUCAUACACUGUAUCUUCCUUUUUCAUGACCCAAAAAUAGCUGGGAAAGAAUGACAUCCAUAAUUUGUUUUCCAUCCUAGGCUCAUUUGCCGGCCUAUUAUUAUUCUUUUUUGUCCUUAAUAAACUGUAUCCUUUCUUUAGUAUUCUCCUUUGCUUAUUCAGGUAACUGCUGAGGAUGUUUAAAAAAGACAUCACCAAUAGCAGAGCACUGCUGCAAUUACAUGCAGGUACAAAAUUGAUGCCCACUUUGGGAUCUCCCUUGUGGCCUUUCCUAUAAUCAUAAGAGCUACCAAGAGACACAAUUGCUUUUAGUUAUCCCCUUCAGAAUACUAAUUAUUGAUGUAAUGUAGAAGGUAAAAGGGAAUUAAAUGAUCUCUUUGAAAUACUUCAGAAUACAUGCUUCAGAACACUAAUUAUAGCUAUAAUGUCUCUCUUUGCUUUGCUAGAAUAUCUCUUCAAAUUUAAGAGGAGCUUGGUACUAUUUUUUCUGAUGGACUUUCUUUAUGAGGAUCAAAAGAUUUGUCUCUGAUGGCUUUUCUUACAAGUUCCCAGCCAUUCUGUCACCCUCCUCUCCUAUCAUUAAAAAUAGGACAGAGUUUCGCGAUCAGCGAUCUGAGGCGCCACUGACAAUAUUAUCAGCUGCCAUUCAGCGGCCAAUGAUGCACAAUGGCACAAGUGACAUCAUCUUCGAUUUUUUCUUCUGUUCAUUGCCAUAAAAAAUUAGCAGGCUGCAUUUGAGCUUCUAAUAUUCAUUUGAUGUUUCAACUAAUGGGUUUUAUACAAUGUAUUGUUGGAGAUUGGAUUGCAAAAACAUGAGAAAAUAACUUCUGAAUGGAUGACAACAAUGUCGACCUUUUUGGAGAGAAAACUGAACCGGAGAAGACGGCAGCUGAAGAGCAUGCUGCGAAAGUGAAGGGUUCUGGCAAGAAGAAAGAAUGUAUGUUAUCUUACAUUCUUUCUAUUUUGAAAAUUGCCUUGAGUGUGAAAAAUACUGAGCAUGGACCUAUGUUCUUAUUAAUAGCUCUUGCUGUCUGUAGUACCAUAUAGAUAGAAAAUAGCUAUCAUUUCUAAUGAAAUGAUAAGAUUUCUUGAUCUUCAAUAAUGAUGUGUACAUAAAUAGUACUAAACUCGAUGCUGCCUUAUGAUAAUCUCAUGGUGAUGUUGAACUCAUUGCUUCUAUCACAUGUGAAUGUUUCUUCUUACUUUUAUUUUGUUAUAUCCUGUUUGAGUAAGUAUGUUAAACCUGAAUUAGUACUAACUUGAGCAUUACCUGCAUAACCACAAUGAUGGGACCGGCACCCUCGCGCCAAGGCGCGUUACCGAUCUAGUAGCUGUAUGAAACCCGGACACAUGUAAGGCUGCAGUACCACACGGAAGGCCCGCUGGAAAAAUUAGAGUGACCAUCAAUUAAGGAUGACACAAGCGGUCUGGAUGCCAAACGAAAAUCUUAUAUCUCUGUCUGGCCACACGUGGUGCCGCCGUAGCGGCAGCGGUGGAACUAAGAGUCACCGGAUUCGGCCAGGAGUGGCUGGUCCCCGUCUCUAGCCAUGGUUGGCGUCUUGCCAUGUUCAAGCCUCCACGAAUGCGAGUGACACUGCGACGUCGUUGAUCUUUUUCUGCCUGUCUGGAUCGAGAGGAGGGCGGCGUGGAGGCUAUUAGCUUUGGACUAAUAAUGGUGGUUUGGCCCUGAUGCUCUUCUUCCGCCAAGUCGUCUUUCUGCCGGAUGUCGACAACUUGGAUCUAGCCGUUGAUGAGUUCCGGUUUUUCCGAGCGGAGAUCUAUAUGGAUUGGUGUAUGUCGCCCUUGGAUAUCUUGAUCGGAAAGGCUCCGGUCAUGUGUACUAAUAUUAUCAGCCAACAUGGC